This 253-nucleotide ribosomal RNA is filed under the name uncultured bacterium. RNAcentral describes it as "partial 16S ribosomal RNA". It matches the Rfam family "Bacterial small subunit ribosomal RNA", at positions 524 to 776 of the family's 1533-position model. The record is from RNAcentral.
UACGUAGGGUGCAAGCGUUGCCCGGAUUUAUUGGGCGUAAAGGGCGCGUAGGCGGCUCUGCACGUCCGUUGUGAAAUCGCCCGGCUCAACUGGGCGGGGUCAGCGGAUACGGCAGAGCUUGAGCAAGCUAGGGGGCAAUGGAAUUCCCGGUGUAGUGGUGGAAUGCGUAGAUAUCGGGAGGAACACCCGUGGCGAAGGCGGUUCUCUGGGACGGUACUGACGCUGAGACGCGAAAGCGUGGGGAGCGAACAGG